CAUGGACAUGGCCAAUGCUGGGGACAUGUGCAAGGAUGAGGCCAUAGAAGCGGGCAUAGAGAGCAUUGCUUCGUUCUUGUGGUUGGGAGGAAUGCCGUAGAGUGACGCCAAGUGCUUUUCGGUCAUCCCUGCCAUGGCCUCCAGGCCCAUCUGGUUGACCUCCGCCUGCUGGUCGCCCACACCUUCCUCCCUGACGUAGUGCAGUUCACGGGCACUAGUGAUCACGCUGCUCCUGGUAGGGGUGCCGGGCCCAUCGCGGUUCUUGUCAGGUUCUCCGCUGCGCUCGCCGUUGCUGGAGGCGCUGGAUUCCAUGGCUUUUGGGUUCUCGUGUUCUCCGCUCUCAUCUACUUGCAUCAUCUCCGUCUUGAUCUCUCCCAUCAUGGGGUGGGAGUUGCCGUGCAGGGGCUGUUCGGCACCCGCGCCGGGGUGCAUGGUUCUCUGCAGGAGGGACUGGCCGAUGCUCAUCAGGCUGUCCACGGCUGCUUUCGUUGGGCUCAUGGUGGAGAGGCCGAAGGAGGUGGAGACAGAAGGACUCUGAUCCACCAUUCCUGGCAGCGUCAGUGCUUGCUGGGCAGCCGACAUGUAGCUGCCCUCCUCCACGGAAUGCUUUUUCGGGUUCCUGCCAUGCCGUCCCUUGCGCUCCUCAUCGUCUUCUGCGCCUCCGUCGUUCAUGUUGACCUCCGUGUCAUUUUCAUCCGAGGACUGGAUGGUCUCCAGUAUCUUCAGGCAUUGCUCCUCCAAGUACUCUAUUUCUAAGAUUUCUGCUGCAUAAAGCAGGUCAUCCAGAUCCUCCACUUUAGCUUGGAGCAUGGCAGUGUAGGCAUACUCCAGAAUCUGCUGGAAGGUCUUUGGUGAGAGAAAGUCGAGAGUGUAAUGUUGGCUGUUCCGGUGAAAGAGGAUCUCAAACAUCUUACUGGUGCAGGCCAGCACGGUCCGGUGAGCGUGGAACUCCUGGCUGUCCACCAUGAUGACCACGUCACACAGCGUGCCGGCCAGGCGCAUCUGAUUAGCCUUGUGCAGCAGGGCAUUGGGGUGAUUGGGGUUCUGGAGCUGGAUCAUACCCAUUUUAGUCAAAUCCAUAACGUCUCUGAAAUCCACACGGCCAACUCAUGAGUCUUUCUUUCCACGUAGCAGUCUGUUCAGUUAUCUUUGUAAACAAGAUAAGGUCAAUCUAGAAAGAGAUGAAAGAGAGACCCACAGUUAGAUGAUUUCUUUGAUCU
This 1220-nucleotide long non-coding RNA is filed under the name Sinocyclocheilus grahami. Its description in RNAcentral is "lncRNA (ENSSGRG00000049254.1)". The record is from RNAcentral. Lineage: Eukaryota; Metazoa; Chordata; Actinopteri; Cypriniformes; Cyprinidae.